CCUACGGGUGGCAGCAGUAGGGAAUAUUGGACAAUGGGCGCAAGCCUGAUCCAGCCAUGCCGCGUGAGUGAAGAAGGCCCUCGGGUUGUAAAGCUCUUUUGUCCGGAAAGAAAAGCAUCGGGUUAAUACCCCGGUGUUCUGACGGUACCGGAAGAAUAAGCACCGGCUAACUUCGUGCCAGCAGCCGCGGUAAUACGAAGGGUGCAAGCGUUACUCGGAAUUACUGGGCGUAAAGCGUGCGUAGGUGGUUCGUUAAGUCCGAUGUGAAAGCCCUGGGCUCAACCUGGGAAUGGCAUUGGAUACUGGCGGGCUAGAGUGCGGUAGAGGAUAGUGGAAUUCCUGGUGUAGCAGUGAAAUGCGUAGAGAUCAGGAGGAACAUCCGUGGCGAAGGCGACUGUCUGGACCAGCACUGACACUGAGGCACGAAAGCGUGGGGAGCAAACAGGAUUAGAUACCCUUGUAGUCCG
Molecule: ribosomal RNA, 467 nt
Filed under: uncultured Thermomonas sp.
Lineage: Bacteria; Pseudomonadati; Pseudomonadota; Gammaproteobacteria; Lysobacterales; Lysobacteraceae
Description: bacterial SSU rRNA
Rfam family: Bacterial small subunit ribosomal RNA
Source: RNAcentral